AUGAACUACAGGGCACACCUCGCCCACCGCUCCCAGGUGCUCAGCUGCCUGCGCGAUCUUGCCGUCGCCAAGGCCAAGCUCAAGGAGCUUCGGUCCCUCUUCUACAACCUCUCCUACAGGCGCCGCCUCUCGCACGACCACGAGGAGCGCCAGAGGUUCUCCGAGAAGAUCAUUGUCCUGCUCCUCACUGUCAACGCGCUCGAGUCCAUGUGCGAGAAGAACGGCCAGACCCCUCCGCCGAUGCCAGUCAUUGCUUCGGCAGACACGCGUAACUCCCGACAAGCAUCGACUGAUCCUUCUCCGUCUGCCACUGGCGCGACCGGUCCUACACCUACACCUACACCUCCGUGA
Molecule: ribosomal RNA, 351 nt
Filed under: Triticum aestivum (bread wheat)
Lineage: Eukaryota; Viridiplantae; Streptophyta; Magnoliopsida; Poales; Poaceae
Description: partial small subunit ribosomal RNA
Source: RNAcentral